This 504-nucleotide ribosomal RNA is filed under the name uncultured bacterium. RNAcentral describes it as "partial 16S ribosomal RNA". It matches the Rfam family "Bacterial small subunit ribosomal RNA", at positions 899 to 1397 of the family's 1533-position model. The record is from RNAcentral.
ACUCAAAGGAAUUGACGGGGGUCCGCACAAGCGGUGGAACAUGUGGUUUAAUUCGAUACUACGCGAGGAACCUUACCUAGGCUUGACAUGCUUGUGACAGCUGUAGAAAUACAGUCUUUUGAGCUUCGGUUCAAACACAUGCACAGGUGCUGCAUGGCUGUCGUCAGCUCGUGUCGUGAGAUGUUGGGUUAAGUCCUUUAACGAGCGCAACCCUUGCCGUCAGUUGCUAACCACGUAGGUGGAGCACUUUGAUGGGACUGCCUGGGAAACCAGGAGGAAGGUGGGGAUGACGUCAAGUCCGCAUGGUCCUUAUGCCUAGGGCAACACACGUGUUACAAUGGCCAGCACAGAGGGUCGCAAUUCCGUAAGGAGGAGCCAAUCCCUAAAUCUGGUCUAAGUUCGGAUUGAGGUCUGCAACUCGACCUCAUGAAGUUGAAAUCGCUAGUAAUCGCGCAUCAGAACGGCGCGGUGAAUACGUUCUCGGGCCUUGUACACACCGCCCGU